AAGAACAAGUUGCAUAAAUAUUGAAAAAUAGGAGUUUAACAAUGGAGUUUUAAAUCUCCCAAUUCAUCACAAAACUGAAAUUUCCCAAUUUCAACUAGAAAAGGAGUUUAGCCAUUCAUGGUGGACAAAAAUACACAAAAAGAAGGAAGAAAAAUAAAAGAAGAAGUUGUUGUGCUACUGCUGAAUUUCUACAGUAUUUCCGAUGAUGCCUGCUGGUUUUGGUGCUGUCCCUUUUAUAGGUGGAGAGUCCUAAUUCAUUUAGGACUUGGGAUCCUUCUUUGAAUUGGACUUCGAGAUGGCCUUUUAAUUCCUUCUUGCUUUUGUAUUUUAUAAUGAAUAGAAUUCAUUUGGUGAAGGAUUUUCUUUGGUGUGACUUUUGGAGUUGUCAAAUGAUUGAUCUUGUAGUGUUUGAAGUAGGAUAGGACUUUAAUGCUUUUGAAAUUUAAAAUUUUCCUUUUUCCCGCGUUGUUGUCCUCCUCUGCGUCAGUUUGAUUUGGGCAGUGAUUUGCCCAAAUCGCUUGCUCAAAUCAUUUCUGCAAGUCAGUCCCAGUUUCCUGCUUUAGCUUUCUGCGAGUGAUUUGGCCAAAUCACUUUAACCCAAUCAAUUUUCCAGCUUUUUCUGCACUUUGUCUCCAACUUUUCAUUUUCUUCCUUUUCUACAAAACAUCACAAAAACAUAAAUUAAGCUGAAAAAAUGUGUAAUUAAAUAAUAAUAAAGAUAAUAAAAAUGUGGCUAAAUUAUUUUUGAUCACCUAGCUGCCUCACACUGACACCAGGCCUCGUCUCGCCAAGACACAACUUCAUCCCUCUCUUGCUGGGCUUCCUCCAGAGAGGACAACUGUGCCAAAACUUCAUCACGACGAGACUUCGCUGUAGUUGCCCUCUCGUCAGCCCUCCUAAUGGCGUCUUGUGUCCAAGUUAGCUCGUCAUUAAGGUCCUUCAAGUGACCCUGAGCUGCGGCAAGCUGGCCCUAGACAUCACUUGUAGCUACAAGGUUUUCCUCGUGACGGGCCUCCUCAAUCUGGCGGUCCACCGUGCUCUGGAAUGACCAAUCACGAGCAUCGAUCUCCAUGAAGACACCCAUCAUCUGGCAAAGAGAAAAGGCAACAAAAUUAGAAAACAACGAGAAUAAGAACAACACAAAAAAGGGGGGUGUAACGACCCGGAAACCGGACCGCUACCGGCGCUAGGAUCCAUAUCGACUUAAGGUCGUCGGGACCCGUAGCAAGCCUACUAUGCAUCCUGUACAACUGGUAUAAUCCCAAACAUGAUCAAACAUAUACAUAAAACUUUAAACUUUUUCAUCUACCAAGCUUGACCUGCACAUGCACUAACUCUGUAACCAUAAAACUCCAUACUAGAGCCCUCAUCAAAUGCUCUAGAUGGGUCAUCAUUACAUAUCAAGCUUGGUUCUCAUCAUAUAACAUCAAUAAAACAUUACAUACAGAUCAUGUACAAAAGGGAUUAUCCAUACUCUAGGGCCAAGCACAAUACUAUAUCUCAAUAGACAUAACAUUACAUUACUUAUACAAUACAUGUCCGCUACUCACUAUUACAUACUCUUUACCCUUGCUGAUACCCUGUCUUCUCUCUGGCCCUGAAAACAUGGGGUUAGGGAGAGGGGUGAGCUAUUAGAGCCCAGUGAGUAGAAUAAUAAAAACAUUUAAAUAUCAUAUGCCAUUAUGAAAUGCGUCACAUCACAAGUAAAUCACAUCAAGGAUGGACUUGUCACCAAUAACCCUCUACAUAUCCAACCGUGACAGGGGCGUAGAAUGGGUCUCGACCUGGACUUUCUCUUAACAUAACAUAACAUAACCAAUCAUGCCAGGGGCGUAGAAUGGGCCUCGGCCUGGACUUACAUAUCAUACAUAUCAUAUCAUCUCAUGUCAUAUGGUAUCAUAUUGAGGGCUAGAGGAUCAUUCAAUAUCCAUCCACAUCAUCAUCAUCAAAUUAUACAAUGCAACAUAUUCGUAAAUUCUAAUGCAAACAACCUAUUAUAUACAUGGCAUUCAUGAUGCAUGGGUCAUGCUAAAAACCCUUUCAUUAAUUUAAAACAUAGUUUAGUUCUACUCACCUCUAGCAGACGCUGGACUAAUUCUGAACCAGCCAACUCUGUGGGCCUCCUCAGUUUCUCGGGUCCGAUCCUACAAAGGUGGACUCAAAUGAGGGACCAAACAUACUCUAACAUAACUCUAAAUAUCUCCCCAAAAACCCCCCUAAAACAACUUAAACCUGCAUGGAAAAACAUGCAAAGGAAGGCUGGACAGGGCACUUUCAGCGGCAGGUUCGGCGGCCGAAAGUCCCUCCAGAGCCGAAACUCAGCCACUUUCGGGGGCACCUUUGGCAGCCGAAAGGGGUUCAGAGCCGAAACUCACCAACCUUCGAGGGCAGGUUCGGCGGCCGAAACUCCACGCCAGAGCCGAAAGUCCAAACUUUCGGGAGCGAGUUUAGGCAGCCAAAACAGCCUCCUCAAGGCGUUCGGCGGCCGAACAUGGCUUCGGCUGCCGAACCUGAGUUCUUUCAGAACUCAGCCUCGCACACAAGAAGCCUCCCAAGCCUUCCAAACCUCUCCAAACAUGCACAACAAGCAACCAACCUCUCAAACACAUGCAUAUACCCUUAUUCAUGCAUAUAGGGGCUUAGAACUAGCUCAAACCCCCAAAAACAACACAAAUACACACAUAUGGCUUAUGAUCAACAUAAACCCUAACCAUCAUGAUCCACUCUAAAACAUGCAUAAAACUCCCUUAAAACCCUCAAAACAUACUUAAAACAUAAGGAGAGGUGAGGAUCCAUGCUUACCUCUUGAAGAUCGAGAGGAUUGAUGGUCCAAACUCGGUGAUGUCAAGAAAACUAGAUCCGAAGUCUCCAAGCCUCAAACCUUUGCUCUUUAACUCAAAAUCUUCAAAACCAAACUAAAAACUCAUGAAAACAUGAGGGAUUUAACGAAAAAGCAUAAAAACAACCAAAGGAGAGCAUGAACUCACCUAUGCCCGAAAAGAGAGAGAAAACUCACCUCCAUUCCGGACAAAGGCCCCUUUUAUAGGUGGCCGGUCAACCACCUUCGGCGGCCAAAACUGUCUCCACAGCUCCACCACCUUCGGCAGCCUAAC
This 3113-nucleotide long non-coding RNA is filed under the name Manihot esculenta (cassava). Its description in RNAcentral is "long non-coding RNA (MESC_LNC004971)". The record is from RNAcentral. Lineage: Eukaryota; Viridiplantae; Streptophyta; Magnoliopsida; Malpighiales; Euphorbiaceae.